UGAGUAACCUGCCCUUCACUCUGGGAUAACUCCGGGAAACCGGGGCUAAUACUGGAUACGACUCGAACAGGCAUCUGUAUCGGGUGGAAAGAUUUAUUGGUGGAGGAUGGACUCGCGGCCUAUCAGCUUGUUGGUGAGGUAAUGGCUCACCAAGGCAACGAUGCGUAGCCGACCUGAGAGGGUGAUCGGCCACAUUGGAACUGAGACACGGUCCAGACUCCGUACGGGAGCA
RNAcentral lists this ribosomal RNA (232 nucleotides) under uncultured bacterium. RNAcentral describes it as "partial 16S ribosomal RNA". It matches the Rfam family "Bacterial small subunit ribosomal RNA", at positions 118 to 347 of the family's 1533-position model. The record is from RNAcentral.